RNAcentral lists this transfer RNA (72 nucleotides) under Camelus ferus (Wild Bactrian camel). It matches the Rfam family "tRNA". Rfam says of the family: Transfer RNA (tRNA) molecules are approximately 80 nucleotides in length. The record is from Rfam by way of RNAcentral. Lineage: Eukaryota; Metazoa; Chordata; Mammalia; Artiodactyla; Camelidae.
GUGGGUAUAGCUCAGUGGUAGAGCAUGUGCUUAGGAUGCAUGAGGUCCUGGGUUCAAUCCCCAGUCUCUCCA